Molecule: non-coding RNA, 71 nt
Organism: Bos taurus (domestic cattle)
Lineage: Eukaryota; Metazoa; Chordata; Mammalia; Artiodactyla; Bovidae
Source: Rfam
UCCCUGGUGGCUAGAUGGUAAAGUGUCUGCCUACAAUGUGGGAGACCCAGGUUCAAUCCCUGGGUCGGGAA